Sugiyamaella lignohabitans is the source of this 118-nucleotide transfer RNA. It matches the Rfam family "tRNA". Rfam says of the family: Transfer RNA (tRNA) molecules are approximately 80 nucleotides in length. Their secondary structure includes four short double-helical elements and three loops (D, anti-codon, and T loops). Further hydrogen bonds mediate the characteristic L-shaped molecular structure. tRNAs have two regions of fundamental functional importance: the anti-codon, which is responsible for specific mRNA codon recognition, and the 3' end, to which the tRNAs corresponding amino acid is attached (by aminoacyl-tRNA synthetases). tRNAs cope with the degeneracy of the genetic code in two manners: having more than one tRNA (with a specific anti-codon) for a particular amino acid; and 'wobble' base-pairing, i.e. permitting non-standard base-pairing at the 3rd anti-codon position. NCBI's taxonomy places the organism in Eukaryota, Fungi, Ascomycota, Dipodascomycetes, Dipodascales, Trichomonascaceae. The record is from Rfam.
GCGCUUUUAGUAUAGAGGUAGUAUGCCUGCUUCGGGAAAGUGCUAAUGCAUGUCCCCACCCUUAAAAAGGGCGACUAGAGUUUUGUAGGUGACGGGGGUUCGAUUCCUCCAAAGCGCA